RNAcentral lists this ribosomal RNA (519 nucleotides) under uncultured eukaryote. RNAcentral's name for it is "SSU rRNA". It matches the Rfam family "Eukaryotic small subunit ribosomal RNA", at positions 1161 to 1704 of the family's 1831-position model. The record is from RNAcentral.
AGGGCACCACCAGGAGUGGAGCCUGCGGCUUAAUUUGACUCAACACGGGAAAACUCACCCGGCCCGGACACCGUAAGGAUUGACAGACUGAGAGCUCUUUCUUAAUCCGGUGGGUGGUGGUGCAUGGCCGUUCUUAGUUGGUGGAGCGAUUUGUCUGGUUAAUUCCGAUAACGAACGAGACUCUGGCCUAUUAAAUAGACGGUGUAUCUUGAAGUAUACCGCGCUUCUUAGAGGGACAAGCGGCGUCUAGCCGCAUAAAAUAGAGCAAUAACAGGUCUGUGAUGCCCUUAGAUGUCCGGGGCUGCACGCGCGCUACACUGAAAGAAUCAGCGUGCGAUUAGCCUGGUUCGGAAGAAUCGGGUAACCCAAGUAAAUUCUUUCGUGCUUGGGAUAGGGAAUUGCAAUUAUUUCCCUUAAACGAGGAAUUCCCAGUAAAUGCGGGUCAUAAGCUCGCGUUGAUCACGUCCCUGCCCUUUGUGCACACCGCCCGUCGCUACUACCGAUUGGAUGACUUAGUGA